GAGAGAGAGAGAGAGAAACGGGGACGCAUCGGUCAGAUUUCGAUUCGCCUCGAUCAUACACAUAUCCAUGACAGACCUUGGAAACGAUCAGUUACCUUUGAAAACCGCUCUCACGCGAUAGUCGUAUAAAGGAAUAACGUUAAUGUGAAGCGGCGAUAAAGGAGAAAUAUAUAGGUAAAUAGAGAUACGAUCAAAGUGAUGGUAUGGAGUUUAGAGUGAAUUUGAAGAAAAAGAAAGAUAAUCAAGCCUUAAGAACGAAGAAUUUUAUUUUAUCAUUAACGAAUCGACACAAAGAGAGCACAAAGAGUGAAUAUUUUAAAUCUGUAUAACAAUAAACCCAUGUAUCUGGAUAAAUAAUAUCAAUGUACAUAUCCUGAAUACUAAAGGGAAGUAUUAUAUGGCUUAUAUUAUGAUUUUAUUUGAAUAAAAGAUUAUCUAUAAUGGUACAUCGUUAAAGGCAAAAACAUGAUUUAUUUUAUUAAUAGAAAAAAGUUCACCGGCGAGGAGAAACCACGGACCACCGAUAAGACCGCCUCGUAAGCGAAGAUUAAAUAAUGGGGAACAAUCAAUAAUCUGCAAUAAUCGAUCGAGUACGAGCGAAUCCUCGAUCGGGAUCAUCGAUCAUGAUGGCCAUGCCACGAAAGUAGUAACGGCUCAGAUCGAAAAGAAUCCUAAUGAAAUAGGAUCCGUUGAUGAAGAAAAUUUGAAUUUAUUGAGAACGAUAUUGUCUUCGUUCGACGUCGAUUUAGCGUCGGACGAAUCAGCGUUAAGGGGAUCGGAAGAACGGUCGCUCCUGACGUCACCAAACGAUAAACACGAUCACAAGGAAAAGGCUUUGAUGAGGAAAACGUACGUACUUAAGAGUUAUUUUCAUACUAUAUCGUCGUUAGUCUUAACGAUCGUUUUUACCAGGAAUUAACCACCAUACAUUAUGCGUAUACAUAUCUAAUCGUAUGAGAAACCGCUGGAAGUCUCUUAAGAACGGAGACUAAGAGACUAAUUAAUGAACAAUAAAUGAUCCUAUCUGUUAUUACCAUAAAUCGUCUUUUAGGCUGAACAUGGUAACGUCCCAGAACGACGAAACGGAAAGAUUCUAUUUGAAUAUUCCACCGAAAAGGUCCUCGUAUUUGUCUCGCAAAGUUGAAUCGAUAGAUCAUUCGUUAUUUCAAAUUAAUCCUACGAUCGAUGCUUCUACAUCGACAAAGAUAAAUUAUCAAACGCAAGAACUUAAAGAUUUAUACAACGAGCAAAUGAUAUUUGAAAAAUAUUUCUAUUUUCCCAAUAAGAAGGGUAAUGAAGUUGACAAUUCGCAAAACGAUAAUACUCAAGUCGUCAUUAUCCAAGUGAGAAAAUAUCGAGUGAAAGAUGUCUAUAAGGAAAAAGGUAAAAACACGAGAUCCGAGAUUUUAUCAAAUAAUAUCUCGUCUUUUCAUACAACUAACUUAUCGUCCACUAAGGACUAUGCGAAUUCACGAAGCAAAGAAUAUUUGUUGAAAAAAGGGUCAAAGAAAUUCAAAUCAAAAAAAUUGUCAAAGCUCUUCCAAUGUCACAAAUAAUGUUGAUAUAAAUGGUACUCAUAUUAAAUAAAAAUGUUAUAUAUUGCGACAAGGGGAUAGGAUCUCGAAGGAAAAUAUUGGAUAAAUUUUGGAAAGUGGAAAUCAGUCCGUCAGCGGGUUUCCCGAAGAAUUCAUUUGGAGGUACCGAUGAAGCGACCGAUUUUGCUCGAAUUCACGUUGGUACGUACGCAUGGAAAAAUUUAGAAAUGACCAUUCGCACUAUUUUCAUUCGUUCUUGUUCGAUAUUGCUUGCUCGCGCAUUCUCAAUCUCGCGUUGUCAAUGUUGUUCGAUCCUUUACAUUGGAACGAUUAUAAUUUCAAUCGACCGCGCGAGCGAACGAAAGGCAAAGAGGAAGGAGGAUAAGUGCAUGAAAAAUUGUCGCUAAUUAUCAUCAACGUGCGCCUCGUAUUCCAUUGGAUAUGGAUAUAUAUAUAUAUAUAUAUAUAUAUAUAUAU
RNA transcript from Vespa crabro (European hornet), 2012 nucleotides. RefSeq lists it as uncharacterized. The transcript is spliced from 3 exons. The record is from RefSeq and is a predicted model, not a curated record. NCBI's taxonomy places the organism in Eukaryota, Metazoa, Arthropoda, Insecta, Hymenoptera, Vespidae.